UCGAGUAGGUUGGUAGCUUUGAUUUUCCGAAGAAAAGUCAAGCGGCUUGUCAAACGGAAGCGGCACUACGUGGUGGUCAAGGAUUUCUCGAUGUUGGGCGAAGAGGUUAACAGACUGGAAAUACGUGAGGGAGUCUAUUAUGGUGUGAUUAUGUAGGUAGACAUACCUCUAAAGGAGAGUCUGCGACAAUCCUGUUUGGUAGAAGAAGAAGAAGUGAAGAAAGAAAAGGACUGAAAGAAGCAGUCGUGGAAGAAGAAGCAGAAGAAGAACAAGAAGGUGAAAGAUGCGCCAAGAGAGAUAGGCUCGCGCGGCUAUGUUGGAUAGUAAAAAAUCCUAAUGGACGACAAGCCCAAGCGACGAGGGCCAAAUGACGACGACCAUCUUGACCCAUCAUCAUCAGCAUCACCAAGAACCAGUAACAACAGUCAUCACCUCAGGGAUUUUUUUUUUAGAGAAUUCAGUCUUCAAUAUUAGUCAAAAAAUUAUAUGAAACUUUUAUAUAUUUAUAGAAUUAAAUUGUAUUAAGUAUACAAAAGAAAAACAGGGUUUGAGUAGGCAAUUUGUUACUGGAUAUCAAGUUUUGGUGACUUUAGAGGGUAGAGUAUUGCUAAUAUGUUGCUUAAUCAAUGCAUGACAGCUGUCAAAUCUGACUGGUGCAUUUGAGCUGAAUAACCCUGUAGAGAGAGUCCUGUCGCUAUGGUGGCAGGGAUUCUUGAAGAGGACGAAGAGACGGUGCACCGUUCUCAAAGGCACCGCCAGAGAGACGUCGUAUCGUCGAACCGGACCCAAGCAAGUCCCGACAUCUUCACUUGUCUGCUGCCUAUUAGUAAGUCCCGUCACAACCCGCUAAUGAUCGGUCCAACCCCUUUCCUGGGUUCUCCACCCUCUCACUGAGAAAACGAAUAAGUGGAAAGAAGAUACGAAUAUAGGAGUAUAACGAAAACUAAUACUUCCUAAUGCAUCCC
This is a long non-coding RNA of Cephus cinctus (wheat stem sawfly), 965 nucleotides long. RefSeq lists it as uncharacterized. The transcript is spliced from 3 exons. Lineage: Eukaryota; Metazoa; Arthropoda; Insecta; Hymenoptera; Cephidae. The record is from RefSeq and is a predicted model, not a curated record.